This 863-nucleotide ribosomal RNA is filed under the name uncultured beta proteobacterium. Its description in RNAcentral is "bacterial SSU rRNA". It matches the Rfam family "Bacterial small subunit ribosomal RNA", at positions 8 to 867 of the family's 1533-position model. The record is from RNAcentral. Lineage: Bacteria; Pseudomonadati; Pseudomonadota; Betaproteobacteria.
AGGGUUUGAUCCUGGCUCAGAUUGAACGCUGGCGGCAUGCUUUACACAUGCAAGUCGAACGGCAGCGCGGGCUUCGGCCUGGCGGCGAGUGGCGAACGGGUGAGUAAUAUAUCGGAACGUACCCAAGAGUGGGGGAUAACGUAGCGAAAGUUACGCUAAUACCGCAUACGAUCUAAGGAUGAAAGCAGGGGACCGCAAGGCCUUGUGCUCCUGGAGCGGCCGAUAUCUGAUUAGCUAGUUGGUGAGGUAAAGGCUCACCAAGGCAACGAUCAGUAGCUGGUCUGAGAGGACGACCAGCCACACUGGAACUGAGACACGGUCCAGACUCCUACGGGAGGCAGCAGUGGGGAAUUUUGGACAAUGGGGGCAACCCUGAUCCAGCAAUGCCGCGUGAGUGAAGAAGGCCUUCGGGUUGUAAAGCUCUUUUGUCAGGGAAGAAAAGGUCGUGGCUAAUAUCCACGACUGCUGACGGUACCUGAAGAAUAAGCACCGGCUAACUACGUGCCAGCAGCCGCGGUAAUACGUAGGGUGCAAGCGUUAAUCGGAAUUACUGGGCGUAAAGCGUGCGCAGGCGGUUUCGUAAGUCUGUCGUGAAAUCCCCGGGCUUAACCUGGGAAUGGCGAUGGAGACUGCGAGGCUAGAGUUUGGCAGAGGGGGGUAGAAUUCCACGUGUAGCAGUGAAAUGCGUAGAGAUGUGGAGGAACACCGAUGGCGAAGGCAGCCCCCUGGGUCAAAACUGACGCUCAUGCACGAAAGCGUGGGGAGCAAACAGGAUUAGAUACCCUGGUAGUCCACGCCCUAUACGAUGUCUACUAGUUGUUGGGUCUUAAUUGACUUAGUAACGCAGCUAACGCGUGAAGUAG